RNAcentral lists this transfer RNA (77 nucleotides) under Klebsiella pneumoniae. RNAcentral describes it as "tRNA-Met". It matches the Rfam family "tRNA". From Rfam's summary of the family: Transfer RNA (tRNA) molecules are approximately 80 nucleotides in length. Their secondary structure includes four short double-helical elements and three loops (D, anti-codon, and T loops). Further hydrogen bonds mediate the characteristic L-shaped molecular structure. tRNAs have two regions of fundamental functional importance: the anti-codon, which is responsible for specific mRNA codon recognition, and the 3' end, to which the tRNAs corresponding amino acid is attached (by aminoacyl-tRNA synthetases). tRNAs cope with the degeneracy of the genetic code in two manners: having more than one tRNA (with a specific anti-codon) for a particular amino acid; and 'wobble' base-pairing, i.e. permitting non-standard base-pairing at the 3rd anti-codon position. RNAcentral also lists the same sequence under 51 other names. Lineage: Bacteria; Pseudomonadati; Pseudomonadota; Gammaproteobacteria; Enterobacterales; Enterobacteriaceae. The record is from RNAcentral.
GGUCAGUUGGCAGAGAUGGUUUAUGCACUCGCUUCAUACGUGAGACUACAGUGGUUCGAGUCCACUAUUGACCACCA